This 500-nucleotide ribosomal RNA is filed under the name uncultured bacterium. Its description in RNAcentral is "bacterial SSU rRNA". It matches the Rfam family "Bacterial small subunit ribosomal RNA", at positions 29 to 526 of the family's 1533-position model. The record is from RNAcentral.
AAUAAACGCUGGCGGCGUGCCUAACACAUGCAAGUCGAGCGAGAAAGCUCCUUCGGGAGUUAGUACAGCGGCAAACGGGUGAGCAACGCGUGAGAAUUUACCCUCUGGUGAAGAAUACCCUCGAGAAAUCGGGGUUAAUACUGCAUACGUCCCUACGGGGAGAAAGGUGGCCUCUUUGCUACCGCCUGAGGAUAAGCUUGCGUACUAUUAGCUAGUUGGUGAGGUAAUGGCUCACCAAGGCGAUGAUGGUUAACCGGCCUGAGAGGGUGUACGGUCACACUGGAACUGAGAUACGGUCCAGACUCCUACGGGAGGCAGCAGUGAGGAAUCUUGCGCAAUGGGCGAAAGCCUGACGCAGCGACGCCGCGUGAAGGAUGAAGGUCUUCGGAUUGUAAACUUCUGUUAAACGGGAAGAAAUACCUACUUCUAAUAAAAGUAGGGGAUGACGGUACUGUUAGAGAAAGCACCGGCUAAACUCGUGCCAGCAGCCGCCGUAAUAC